GACGAACGCUGGCGGCGUGCUUAACACAUGCAAGUCGAACGGAAAGGCCCUGCUUUUGUGGGGUGCUCGAGUGGCGAACAGGUGAGUAACACGUGAGUAACCUGCCCUUGACUUUGGGAUAACUUCAGGAAACUGGGGCUAAUACCGGAUAGGAGCUCCUGCUGCAUGGUGGGGGUUGGAAAGUUUCGGCGGUUGGGGAUGGACUCGCGGCUUAUCAGCUUGUUGGUGGGGUAGUGGCUUACCAAGGCUUUGACGGGUAGCCGGCCUGAGAGGGUGACCGGCCACAUUGGGACUGAGAUAUGGCCCAGACUCCUACGGGAGGCAGCAGUGGGGAAUAUUGCACAAUGGGCGGAAGCCUGAUGCAGCAACGCCGCGUGCGGGAUGACGGCCUUCGGGUUGUAAACCGCUUUCGCCUGUGACGAAGCGUGAGUGACGGUAAUGGGUAAAGAAGCACCGGCUAACUACGUG
This 468-nucleotide ribosomal RNA is filed under the name uncultured bacterium. Its description in RNAcentral is "partial 16S ribosomal RNA". It matches the Rfam family "Bacterial small subunit ribosomal RNA", at positions 28 to 507 of the family's 1533-position model. The record is from RNAcentral.